This 357-nucleotide unclassified non-coding RNA is filed under the name soil metagenome. RNAcentral describes it as "partial contains 5.8S ribosomal RNA, internal transcribed spacer 2, and large subunit ribosomal RNA". The stretch from base 1 to 120 matches the Rfam family "5.8S ribosomal RNA", at positions 35 to 154 of the family's 154-position model. The record is from RNAcentral.
GAUGAAGAACGUAGCGAAAUGCGAUAAGUAAUGUGAAUUGCAGAAUUCAGUGAAUCAUCGAAUCUUUGAACGCACAUUGCGCCCGUCAGUAUUCUGGCGGGCAUGUCUGUUCGAGCGUCAUUACGCCCCUCAAGUCCCCUGUGGACUUGGUGUUGGGGAUCGGCGAGGCUGGUUUUCCAGCACAGCCGUCCCUUAAAUUAAUUGGCGGUCUCGCCGUGGCCCUCCUCUGCGCAGUAGUAAAACACUCGCAACAGGAGCCCGGCGCGGUCCACUGCCGUAAAACCCCCCAACUUUUUAUAGUUGACCUCGAAUCAGGUAGGACUACCCGCUGAACUUAAGCAUACAAUAAGCGGAGGA